RNAcentral lists this ribosomal RNA (403 nucleotides) under uncultured bacterium. Its description in RNAcentral is "partial 16S ribosomal RNA". It matches the Rfam family "Bacterial small subunit ribosomal RNA", at positions 28 to 526 of the family's 1533-position model. The record is from RNAcentral.
GACGAACGCUGGCGGCGUGCCUAAUACAUGCAAGUCGAACGCAGUGGGGACGGGUGAGUAACACGUGGGUAACCUCCCAUCAGAGGGGAUAACACUUGGAAACAGGUGCUAAACCGAUAUGGAUGGAUGGACCCGCGGGGCAUUAGCGAGUUGGUGAGGUAACGGCUCACCAAGGCCACGACGCAUAGCUUGCCUUAGAGGAUGAUCAGUCACACUGGAACUGAGACAGGGUCCAGACUCCUACGGGAGGCAGCAGUGGGGAAUAUUGGACAAUGGGCGAAAGCCUGAUCCAGCCAUGCCGCGUGUGUGAAGAAGGUCUUCGGAUUGUAAAGCACUUUAAGUUGGGAGGCGUUACCAACAGAAUAAGCACCGGCUAACUUCGUGCCAGCAGCCGCGGUAAUUC